RNAcentral lists this ribosomal RNA (406 nucleotides) under uncultured bacterium. Its description in RNAcentral is "partial 16S ribosomal RNA". It matches the Rfam family "Bacterial small subunit ribosomal RNA", at positions 30 to 526 of the family's 1533-position model. The record is from RNAcentral.
AUUGAACGCUAGCGGCAGGCCUAACACAUGCAAGUCGAACGAGUGGCGGACGGGUGAGUAAUGUCUGGGAAACGGCCCGAUGGAGGGGGAUGACUACUGGUAACGGUAGCUAAUACCGCAUACCAUCGGAUGUGCCCAUAUGGGUUUAGCUAGUUGGUGGGGUAACGACUCACCUAGGCGCCGAUCCCUAGCUGGGCUGAGAGGAUGACCAGCCACACUGGAACUGAGACACGGUCCAGACUCCGACGGGAGGCAGCAGUGGGGAAUUGUGGAGAAUGGGCGAAAGCCUGAUGCAGCCAUGCGGCGUGUGGGAUGAAGGCCUUCGGGUUGUAAAGCACUUGCAGCGAGGAGGCGUUACUCGCAGAAGAAGCACCGGCUAACUCCGUGCCAGCAGCCGCGGUAAUUC